RNAcentral lists this long non-coding RNA (642 nucleotides) under Arabidopsis thaliana (thale cress). RNAcentral's name for it is "long non-coding RNA (ATHA_LNC000399)". Lineage: Eukaryota; Viridiplantae; Streptophyta; Magnoliopsida; Brassicales; Brassicaceae. The record is from RNAcentral.
AUGGUGGAAGCAAUGUUGGUGGUGAAGACGAAUUAGAAGGUAAGGGAUCUGGACUUGGCUUGGGAGGUGGGAGAGUUUCCUCUGGUGGAGAAGGAGGUGAAGGAUGCACAGGACGUUUUGAGUCACUUGGAGAAGGAGGUGAUGGAGUAGGACGUUUAGAACCCGGUGGAGGAGGUUGCUCACGACGUUUUGGAUGCCCUGGAGGAGGAGGAGAAGGAUGUUCUGAAUCUGAUGGAGGAGUUGAAGGACGUUCUGAGGCUGGUGGGGAAGGUAAAUGACGUGGAGGAGGAGGAAUUUCUGAGGCUGGCGGGGAAGGUAAAUGACGUGGAGGUGAAUGUGAUGGUGGGACUAACUUAGGUGGUGGAAGUGGAUUGCUUGGAGGGUCUGGUGCAGGUAGUGAAGGAGGGCUUUCCGGUGGUGGUGGUGGAUUUGUUGGCGGGCUGGGUGAUGUAAUAGGAGUAGUAGGAGGAGCUUCAGUUGGUGGAGGUGGCGGGGGAGAAGAUUCUGGUGGAGGUGAUGAUACUGGAUUCGCUGGAGGAGGAGCUUCAGUUGGUAAAGGUGGUGGGGGAGAAGGUUCUGGUGGAGGAGAUACUGGAAUCGUCGUCGGAGGAGGUCCAGUUAGUGAAGGUGAUGGGGGAGAAG